UUUAUAUACCCAAGAGAAUGUUGGUACCGAUCUGUGAUUGCAAAGACGGACUUUCUAUCUCUAGAAACCCAGGCCAAAUAUUUGGGGGGCUCCUUGUUUUCUGCUGGGAGGAAGUGAUUAGUGGGAGAACAUGGCCUUGUGAAGAUUGAUGGUG
Molecule: non-coding RNA, 154 nt
Organism: Camellia sinensis
Lineage: Eukaryota; Viridiplantae; Streptophyta; Magnoliopsida; Ericales; Theaceae
Source: RefSeq, a predicted model, not a curated record